This 362-nucleotide RNase P RNA is filed under the name Acidobacteriota bacterium. RNAcentral's name for it is "Acidobacteria bacterium (activated sludge metagenome) RNase P RNA component class A". It matches the Rfam family "Bacterial RNase P class A". From Rfam's summary of the family: Ribonuclease P (RNase P) is a ubiquitous endoribonuclease, found in archaea, bacteria and eukarya as well as chloroplasts and mitochondria. Its best characterised activity is the generation of mature 5'-ends of tRNAs by cleaving the 5'-leader elements of precursor-tRNAs. The record is from RNAcentral. Lineage: Bacteria; Pseudomonadati; Acidobacteriota.
UGAGUGGACUAGGGCGUCGCUGCUUCACCGCAGAGGAAAGUCCGGGCUCCGCAGGGCAGUGAGCCUGCUAACGGCAGGGCGGGGCGACCCGACGGAAAGUGCAACAGAGAACAAACCGCCGAUGGCUCUUCGGAGAUCAGGCAAGGGUGAAACGGUGGGGUAAGAGCCCACCGCCGGCUUGGUAACAAGGCGGGCACGGCAAACCCCUCACGGAGCAAGACCAAAUAGGCUGGCGCACUCCCGCGAGGGAGCGAGGAUCGGCCCGAUCGAGCCAGCGGGUAAGUUGCUAGAGGUGGGUGGCGACAUCCAUCCCAGAGGAAUGACGCUCCACGACAGAACCCGGCUUACCGGUCCACCACGGC